AUCUACAAAUUGUCAAAGUUUUCACUCUAGCUCUGCGACCAAAUCCUCUCGCUAUAAAAAGCACGAAACGCAAACAGCUCUAAUCACUAUUCUCAUGGGGUUCAAGACAUCCCGGCUGUUCGCUGCUUAUACGCUAAAUUUAAUCUUUGUUCACGCUCUCGAGCUUGUACUAAUGGUUAAGAGGCCAUGUGAGCAGCGAAUUGCUGUGAUGUCGCGAAACAUUUUUGCAUCUCGGGCAGUGCAUGACCGAUAUUAAUGGUGGAGAAGACUACAUCUCCUUCCAUUAUAACCAUCUUUUGCCUCUAAAUCGUCCUUUUGAAUGAUUGUCUUGUCAUCAUCAAGGUGAGGGCGUGAAAUCCUACUUUCGUCUAUGCUUGGGUUCAAUUUGCCAGCGAAUAGUUAUUAACUUACCCUUUAGCUUCGUUAGCUCCAAUCGCUGUACAUAUCAUUUGAACAAUUUUGGGCUUACGGAUUUGUCUCUUUUUUCCCUCUCAGCACUAUUAUCCCUACGGUUGACAGUCAAGUUAUUGAAGAGAGG
Molecule: long non-coding RNA, 538 nt
Filed under: Eucalyptus grandis
Lineage: Eukaryota; Viridiplantae; Streptophyta; Magnoliopsida; Myrtales; Myrtaceae
Description: long non-coding RNA (EGRA_LNC007208)
Source: RNAcentral